GAUGAACGCUGGCGGCGUGCCUAAUACAUGCAAGUCGAGCGAACAGAUGAGGAGCUUGCUCCUCUGACGUUAGCGGCGGACGGGUGAGUAACACGUGGAUAACCUACCUAUAAGACUGGGAUAACUUCGGGACACCGGAGCUAAUACCGGAUAAUAUCUUGAACCGCAUGGUUCAAUAGUGAAAGACGGUUUUGCUGUCACUUCUCGCUGCAUCCGCGCUGCAUUAGCUAGUUGGUACGGUCACGGCUUACCAAGGCAACGAUGCGUAGCCGACCUGAGAGGGUGAUAGGCCACAUGGGAACUGAGACACGGACCAGACGACUGAGGGAGGCAGCAGUAGGGAAUCUGACGCAAUGGGGGAAAGCCUGACGGAGCAACGCCGCGUGAGUGAUGAAGGUCUUCGGAUCGGAAAACUCUGUUAUGAGGGAAGAACAAAUGUGUAAGUAACUAUGCACGUAGUGACGGUACCUAAUCAGAAAGCCACGGCUAACUACGUG
RNAcentral lists this ribosomal RNA (497 nucleotides) under uncultured bacterium. RNAcentral describes it as "partial 16S ribosomal RNA". It matches the Rfam family "Bacterial small subunit ribosomal RNA", at positions 28 to 507 of the family's 1533-position model. The record is from RNAcentral.